This 266-nucleotide long non-coding RNA is filed under the name Volvox carteri. Its description in RNAcentral is "long non-coding RNA (VCAR_LNC002596)". The record is from RNAcentral. Lineage: Eukaryota; Viridiplantae; Chlorophyta; Chlorophyceae; Chlamydomonadales; Volvocaceae.
AAGCACAAGGAAGUUCUGCUUGCAAGUUGCGUCCCAUAGCAAACCAAACUCAAACACAAGGAAGUUCUGCUUGCAAGUCGCGUCCCAUAGCAAACCAAACUCAAACACAAGGAAGUCCUGCUUGCAAGUCGCGUCCCAUAGCAAACCAAACUCAAACACAAGGAAGUCCUGCAUAUAAGGCGCGUCCCAUAGCAAAACAAACUCAAACACAAGGAAGUUCUGCUUGCAAGUCGCGUCCCAUAGCUAACCAAACUCAAACACAAGGA